RNAcentral lists this long non-coding RNA (1072 nucleotides) under Homo sapiens (human). The record is from RNAcentral. Lineage: Eukaryota; Metazoa; Chordata; Mammalia; Primates; Hominidae.
GUGCCCUUCUCUAAAACCUGGGCGGCGGUGGGGGAUUUGUGUGCCAGAAGACCUUCCAGGGUCGGUUGCGGGGAUGAUGUGGGUAAGGGGUCUCCUCCAGAGAUCAGCCCCUGACCCCGCCAGGGACAGCAGCACCCCCGACCCCAGGUCUGGCUGGGGCAGGACCAUUUCCUGCGGGGCCGGUUUGAGGAUGACGCCUGCCUGCCGUGUUUGUUUCCAAGUCAUUGUCAUGGAAACCGGGGCGGUUGUUGCUACUGUUUGUCUGGACUGCGUCGCUAGGCGGUGUUGCUGGGGUUGGCUGGGUGCCCACGGCACUAACAGGGCUCGCUUGGUGUCUCCAGCUCCAGGAAGCUAUGCCCUCCCAGCCGCCUGCCAGCCAGGACUUGGUGGGGCACACCUCCCUCCCGGCCCUGGGUCCAGCUUAUUGGGGGCCGGCGGUAGCCUGAGAGGUGGAUGUGAGGAAAUCACCCAGUGCCGUGGGCCCCUAGCUCUGGACCGUGGAGGGCUGGGCACAGGCAAGGGCAGGCUGGAGGACCAGGACGGCCAGGUAUGGGCAGCACUUUUCCCAGCGCCUGAUGGGCUUCCGGUGGGGAUGUGGGGUCCAGCUGCCAGGCGGGGAGGCUGGAAUUCCAGCCUCUGGAAUUCCUGGGCUAUGGCUGUAGGAUGCUGGGUACUAGGCCCAGCCUCAAGAGAGGGGAGGGAGGUCAGGGGCACCCCAUCUGGCCAGUCUGUGGAAGCCAGGCAGGGGUGCAGCCCCGCUGGGGGCAGGGCUGGCUGAGGGAGCCCCCUUCUUCCCUCUUUCCACACCUUGCCACGUCUGCUCUGGGAGAGGAGGAACUGCGCAGCCUUCCCACCUGCUCGGGGCUGGAGGUGAGGCCUGGAGGACAGGAGGUGCCUGUCUGGUAAGCCUGUCCCAUGCCAGCCCCAUGCCAGGUCUGCCCAGGGCAGGAAUGGCCACUGAGCCCAGCACGGCCAACCGGGGCCAGACCACAGGCCAGACAGGGGGUCCCGGGAGACAAGCAGCUGAAAAUAGACCCUGGGAACUUGGGAGUGUCUGAGACUCAGCUGGGCC